RNA transcript from Humulus lupulus (European hop), 2231 nucleotides. RefSeq lists it as uncharacterized. NCBI's taxonomy places the organism in Eukaryota, Viridiplantae, Streptophyta, Magnoliopsida, Rosales, Cannabaceae. The record is from RefSeq and is a predicted model, not a curated record. The transcript has 6 exons.
AGUGAGAAAUGGAAAAAAGCUUUGAAAACUACUUCAACUAGCAAGUGUAAGAAGAGAAAGUAAGUGCAACUAUCGAAUUCGAACGAGUCUUCCAGUGAUGAGCAAUUGGAAGGAGGUUUUGAAGAAGAAGAUGAUGGGGUAGAGGUAGAUUCCCAAUCAGCGGCUGAACAUAAAGGGGAAAUUGUGACUAGAUGCUCGUUUCAGAGGGUAAGUCGAAUUGUGUGCAUGAUGUCUAAGGAACAGAAAUCAAUGGUAAGAGCAACUGAAUUUGGAUCAUUUCUAAGGAAAGAUUUCCCUAACAUCUACACUCCUUUAGUGCCGUGGCUAGUGGAUAGUGUAGAUGUCAGUAAGAGCUGCCUAAAAUUAUAUGGGAAAGAGUUGUCGAUAUCUGGGAAGAUAUUGCAGCUGGUGAUGGAUAUACCCGACGAGGAUGAUGUGAUCGAAGCUAAUGAGAAGGUUCCCCAGUCAGAGUUGAAGUCUAGGUUGCUUAGUAAGAAGCGACGGGUCGAAAGGUCAGAUUUUAGAACUUCAUCUAGUGAACUACAAGGACGCAGACAAUUAUUUUUUAUCUAGUAUGAUCAUGCUUAUUGUUGGGAGUGUAUUGGUGCCAGAAACUUGGAAUCAACUGUGUACGUCAUAUAUUAUUGUUGUGUCUGAUUUGAGUAGAAUUACUUCCCACAAUUGGGCCACCCACAUUUUUGGAGAGCUUAUGAAGUCUAUUGGCAAGUAACAAGCUGGCCAAUUGGUCCACCUAAUUGGAUGCACGACUUUCCUCCAGAUGAGGCGCAAAAGCUAAAGACUUAUCCUUUGAACAACGGUGGCUAUAGUGCUUGCAGAGAGGAUAGAAUUGUUGAUGGGGUUCUUCUUGGGCUGAGUCGAAAAGUGAGUGGGAGUUUCUCCAAUACAAUGUUGCUAGAGCAGGUUACAAAAUUUGGUUAUCAGAUGGAAGCACUGAUUGCAUUGACGGUUGCCCUACCUGAUACUCUUAAGAUUAUUAUAUCAAGGGAGUUAAGUAUUAUGAGGGACAAUUCUCAACCAAAAGAAAAUGUAGAUUGUAGAGGCAAGGAAAAUAGUGGAAAUGAAGGAGUAAAUGCCCAAGACAAGGAAUUUUCUGCUGACGACCUUGAAAAGGUACCUGAAGUGUUUGAUUUGACCGCUGUGGGAAAUGCUUAUCUUAUUCCAGCCACUACCACGCUUUCUAAAUUGAUUGAGGUGAAUAUGUGGGGUGUUGAGGGUUACCAAAAUUUUUGUUUAGCCAAUCGGGUUGUGGCAGGGCCUUUCUGGCUGGGAGCAUACGUGUUCCCACAGAUGUACAAAUUGGCAAACUAUAUGUACAACCCCGUUCUUAGUGAUUUUGGAUUGCUACUGCAUGCUGUCAUUGUUGCCUGACAAAUGAGUUCCCAGGGAGGCAAGUAUUAUUUAAAAAAUAGCUAGAGUUAAUAAGUUAGUUUUUGGAUGUUAUUCUUUUUUCUUGGACUUCUUAUUUAAUAAAUCUUUGUCUGCAGAUAAUAAAAUGCUAUGCUAGAAUAUUGACAAACGAAGAGAAGAAGAAAUAUCGAUCUGGACAACCUCAUUCAGUUUGGUUUAUGCCUACAAUAAUUUAUAUGGUUGUCCCUAUUUUGAGUGACAUGUUUUCAGAAGCUUGGCAUUGGUUCGUAGACCGGGAGAAAAAAAAUAAAAAGUUGUUGACAUUUGGGUUUCAUUAACCAGUGAUGAAACAAUGGCCGAGAGGUUGGACAAACUAAAGAAAUGUUUGAUGCAAUUGAAGAGAGAUAUAGGAUCAAUAAUCUUAUUGUUUGUCAUGAGCUGAAUGAACUAAGGAAGCAAGUCAUGUGCGAUAAUGAGGACCAUUUUGAGAUUAAUGUUGUUGGUGCUAGUGGUGACACUGGAGUUCCUUAGGUGAUAAACCAACUGCAGCUAGGGAAUCGCUUGGUAGUACAGCCGCUUCUCCACUAAAAAAGCCAAAAGCAGGAAUAUGAUUUCCACUAUGUUAUCACGAACAAGGAGUUGUAAUUUGGCUGCCAGGAAACUAGACGUUUGAUUGGGUCGCAAUGAACAACUUGGUCUUUUGCUGUGUUUUGUUUUUUAGCUUCGGAAGUCAAAAUGUUUUGAUAUUAGGGUACCUUUUAUUUUGUAUUCGGUCUAUGAAGGCACUUAUAAACUUCUAAGUGUUUCCUAAUUUUGUUCAAUGACAUUACUCCAACUGGGAGGUUUGACUGUGAUCUUGGAGG